GACAGAGGGUGCAAACGUUGUUCGGAAUUACUGGGCGUAAAGCGCACGUAGGUGGCUUGUUAAGUCGGGUGUGAAAUCCCUGGGCUCAACCCAGGAAGUGCACUCGAAACUGGCGAGCUUGAGUACUGAAGAGGGUCGCGGAAUUCCCGGUGUAGAGGUGAAAUUCGUAGAUAUCGGGAGGAACACCAGUGGCGAAGGCGGCGACCUGGGCAGAUACUGACACUGAGGUGCGAAAGCGUGGGAGCAAACAGG
This 252-nucleotide ribosomal RNA is filed under the name uncultured bacterium. RNAcentral describes it as "partial 16S ribosomal RNA". It matches the Rfam family "Bacterial small subunit ribosomal RNA", at positions 524 to 776 of the family's 1533-position model. The record is from RNAcentral.